UAAAAAAAAAAUAAAUUGAAGCAAAACUUUCAACAACGGAUCUCUUGGCUCUGGCAACGAUGAAGAACGCAGCGAAACGCGAAAGGUAAUGCGAAUUGCAGAAUCAGUGAGUCAUCGAAUCUUUGAACGCACAUUGCGCCCUCUGGUAUUCCGGAGGGCACGCCUGUUCGAGCGCCAUUACACCCUCCAAGCUCUGCUUGAUGUUGGACGUUGCGAAGCGAUCAACUCUCCGUUUUGAACGGGGAGGGGGUUCACGCACGUCUGGAACGCGUGGGCGUCUGACCUGUCGAGACACCGCGAGCGUAGCAAGACUUUUU
RNAcentral lists this unclassified non-coding RNA (317 nucleotides) under Dothideomycetes sp. KO-groupK 2014. RNAcentral's name for it is "partial contains ITS1, 5.8S rRNA and ITS2". The stretch from base 25 to 177 matches the Rfam family "5.8S ribosomal RNA". The record is from RNAcentral. Lineage: Eukaryota; Fungi; Ascomycota; Dothideomycetes.